This is an RNA transcript of Dicentrarchus labrax (European seabass), 4784 nucleotides long. It is a transcript of the gene named coagulation factor XIII B chain-like, with no coding region annotated. NCBI's taxonomy places the organism in Eukaryota, Metazoa, Chordata, Actinopteri, Moronidae. The transcript has 22 exons. The record is from RefSeq and is a predicted model, not a curated record.
UGUUUACUCCACAUUUCUUAACUUUUGGGGGAAAUGCCCUCAAUGAUUAUUAACUGGUUCUGAUCUUAACUGAACUCUUUGCUCUGCUUUGGACUGAAUUCCUGACAAAAUGUGUGUGAGAUAUCUCGGAUUUGUUCUUUUGGUUUGGUUUCCAGGGGUGCUGCAUGCACAAAGGGCAGAUAACUCUUGUUCUGCUCCCCGCCUGAAUUAUGGUUAUUUUGUCCCCAACCACGAAACAUAUGCUCAUGGAGUCAAGCUCACUUAUGCCUGUGAAAAGGGAUAUAAACCAGUAGUGGCUGGUCGUUGGUGGGCAACAAGCACCUGUCAAAAUGGCACAUGGUUUCAUGAACCAAAAUGUAUAGACGAAGAAGACUGCAUUACACCAGAGAUACCCAAUGCAAAUUACACAACAAGCCCAGAAGUUUGGUAUCAGAAUGGACACGUAUUUAGGGUAACAUGUAAUAAAGGAUAUGAACCCAAAAACCGGGCUGCUACAACCAGAUGUAAUAAAGGACGAUGGACCUCUGUGCUAGUCUGUGAGAAACGUUACGAUUCCUGUGGUGAGCCCCCUCGAAUCCCCCAUGCUGUCAUCAAGCAUGAAUACAAGGAGGUGUUUGCUGCAGAUACACAAGUGUACUAUGAAUGUGAAGAUGGAUAUACUGUAGAGAGAGCAGAAGACACAAAAUCCAUCUUUUGUGUGCUUGGAAACUGGACUGACGGUCCAACAUGCAGAACCGGAUCAACUGGACAGGGUGGUUCUGCAGAGGUGGGAACUGAUGGCGGACACACUUCAUUUGUUACCAUGGAGAUACAACCUGCAGCUGGAGACAAAGGAACCGGAUCAACUGGACAGGGUGGUUCUGCAGGGGUGGGAACUGAUGGCGGACACACUUCAUUUGUUACCAUGGAGAUACAACCUGCAGCUGGAGGAUCUUCUACAACCUCUGGCUCAAAUGGGGGAGACAGCAGUCCUUCAUUUGUACCAAUCAGCCGCUGUGGAACACACCCAGUCCUUGAAAACGGUGUUGUUAUGGAAGUGAAUCAAAUGUCUUUGAAAUACCAAUGUAGCGGCUUUUACACACAAGUCGGCCUAGACACUGUGGUGUGUCACAACGAUGGUACCUGGUCAAAACUGCCCGAGUGUAAAGAGUCAUUCUGUGUCCUGGAUCCUGCUCAGCAUGUUGGGUCCAAUGUUAUAAUAACUACAAAGGAAUAUCUAAAGGAAGGAGAGAAGAAGUAUUUUCCCUGUAUUUGGCAUAGUUAUUUCAGUCUUUUUCAGUGCACUGAAAGAAGAAUAACUAUGUCCAGGUGCAAAGGAACCGGAUCAACUGGACAGGGUGGUUCUGCAGAGGUGGGAACUGAUGGCGGACACACUACAUCUGUUACCAGGGAGAUACAACCUGCAGCUGGAGGAUCUUCUACAACCUCUGGCUCAAAUGGGGGAGACAGCAGUCCUUCAUUUGUACCAAUCAGCCGCUGUGGAACACACCCAGUCCUUGAAAACGGUGUUGUUAUGGAAGUGAAUCAAAUGUCUUUGAAAUACCAAUGUAGCGGCUUUUACACACAAGUCGGCCUAGACACUGUGGUGUGUCACAACGAUGGUACCUGGUCAAAACUGCCCGAGUGUAAAGAGUCAUUCUGUGUACUGGAUCCUGCUCAGUAUGUUGGGUCCAAUGUUAUAAUAACUACAAAGGAAUAUCUAAAGGAAGGAGAGAAGAAGUAUUUUCCCUGUAUUUGGGAUCGUUGGUUCAGUAUUUUUCAGUGCACUGAAAGAAGAAUAACUAUGUCCAGAUGUAAUAGGUACUGAUUGGCAGAGUCACUGCCUGUAAAGUCUAGCAGAGGAGCUACUGCUGGACUCACAACCAAGGCCAAGUUUUGAAGUUCCUCCAUCGGAAACAACUAUGUUAAAAAAAUGUCAUCACAUUUGUAUUUGAUCUUUUCAAACCAGUUAUUGCUUUGAUUCCAUUUUGAUGGAAAAUACAUAAACACAAUGUUGGAGCUGAUUGUUUACCGACAGUCAUCUUAUAUCUUUCUGAUUAGAACUGUUAAUGCACUUUGAAUACAUAAAUAAAGUUUAUGUGGCCUACGGUAGUCUGUAUAAAAUGUUUGACAGAAAUCUUAACAAAGUCCUUCUGAACAUGGAUAUAUCAGUAACAGUAAUAGUAGUAAUGGUCAUAGACAGUAAUUCUUCUAAUAUUGAUCUGCUUGAUACAACAUCAGUGCAAAGCAUGCAGACAGACGGACAGGCAGACUCACAAAUGCCAUGGUCAGUUUCAAUGAUGUCACAACUUUAUUUCUCAGUCAGUGAGGAAUCUUAUAUUUAGAUUUAAAAUCUUUUGAGUGUGGGUUUUAUUAUCCAACGCUCACUAUACAAAGCUGACUUAAUUCAAGUAAAUGUCACUUUUUUGUCAGUUUGAUCUUAUUUGGAGUUAUUUUAGCUUGACACAAGGGACAUAUUAGCUAUAGGACCUCCAGUAUGCUUUGACACUGACUUUAAGACGUUUCAAAACAAAAACAUCUUAUUUCAAGUUUUAGUCUUUGGGCUUACAUUACCGUAUUCUUGACUUUAUCUUGGAGGAAGAUAUCUAAUUUUAAGAUGAAGAUUUUUGUUUGCAUUAGUUCAUUUUUGUCACACCUGUUGAUGACAGUAGCACCUCAGAUGAUUUAUAUUCCUUUCAGUAAAACAUACAAAACUAUAGUCUCUGAAUAAUCAUUACAAUCCCCAAUGAAAUAGACCAGAAUGAAGCAGAUGUAGGUAACUGACUCAUACUCUACAUGAGAUGAUUCAAUGUGCAGGUUUAGUGUAUAUCAGAUAUUACAAACCUUCACUGACUUCACCAAAGCUGAGUAUUUGCUCUGAAGAGGUUUGCUCUUACGAUGAGUCAAUUUAGAGAUCACCAGAUUUAAACUUUAACAGGCUUGUUACUUGGACCUGUUUUGUCAUUCACAAUGUUAAUAAUAAUAUCUGCUCUUGUAAGUGGAUGGUUAGUUGAGUCUCAUCCUAACAUCAUGGUAGAGUAUGAGAUCUGAGUGUAUUAAAGGUAUGUGUUGUUCUCCGAAGUAACUGAUGACCAAAUGUGUGUUUUUAGAUAUUAUGUAAAUCCAGAAGUGGACCAGACUGAUAAAUAACUGAAUCAAGGCAGGCACAAGACUGACCUCUGAUCACACCAGGCCAGGAAAUUAUUUUGAAAUUUGGACUCUAAAUAAUCAAAUUGAUUGUUGUAGAGAGAGUUAUACAGCAAAUGAUCCAUUGGUAGUAUUUUAGUUCUACACAGAAAUACACUAAUCAUUGUCACAGGUCUUUCCCAAACAAAUAAAUAAAAACAAUAAAUACAAAUAACAGUGUGCUUCUCCUUGAAGUUCAUAAUGUGACAGUAAAUGAAUGAAAUUAAUUAACAGUAUCAUCUGAGGUCAAGAAACAAAACCGAACACAGUCAGGUUUGUUCAUUUAACCAAGAUAGAUUAACAAAAGUGACUGAUCUGAAUUUGAAGUGUUGCAAACAUUUAUUUCUCAUAUUGACAAUAAUUAACUAUUAAAGUAACGUAAAAAAAAUUUGAGUUUGACUGUAUUUCUGUAUUCCUAUAGGUGUGUGUGUGUGUGUGUGUGUGUGUGUGUGUGUGUGUGUGUGUGUGUGUGUGCGCGUGCGUGCGUGCGUGCGUGCGUGCGUGCGUGCGUGCGUGUGUGUGUUGUGUGUUUGGUCAACAAAUGUUUUGGGGGAAGGCUCUCAUCAGUUAUUAACUGGUUCUGAUCUGGACUAGGCUUUCAGUUCUACGUUUUCGCGGGACGAUUUAGCUCCUGACAAAAUGUGCAUCAGAUAUCUUGGAUUCCUUCUUCUGAUUUGGUUUCCUGGAGGGCUGCAUGCACAAAGUGCAACACAGUCCUGUGCUGCUCCCAGACUGGAUGGUGGUUUCUUUGUCCCAAAACAAGAGACUUAUUCUGAUGGAACCACUCUGAGCUUUACCUGCAAUAACGGAACCUGGACUGAAGGCCCAACGAGCAGGAGAGGAACUGGAUCAGACACUGGACGUGGUGGAUCCACAGUGGGAGGAGCAGGUGGGGGACACACUACACUGACUGGCAGUGGGACACAACCUGCAGGUACAGGAUCUUCUACAACCUCUGGCUCAAAUGGGGGAGACAGCAGUCCUUCAUUUGUACCAAUCAGCCGCUGUGGAACACACCCAUUCCUUGAAAACGGUAUUGUUGUGGACGUGAAUCAAAUGUUUUUGAAAAACCAAUGUAACGGCUUUUACACACAAGUCGGCCCAGACACUGUGGUGUGUCACAACGAUGGUACCUGGUCAAAACUGCCCGAGUGUAAAGAGUCAUUCUGUGUACUGGAUCCUGCUCAGUAUGUUGGGUCCAAUGUUAUAAUAACUACAAAGGAAUAUCUAAAGGAAGGAGAGAAGAAGUAUUUUCCCUGUAUUUGGGAUCGUUAUUUCAGUAUUUUUCAGUGCACUGAAAGAAGAAUAACUAUGUCCAGAUGUAAUAGGUACUGAUUGGCAGAGUCACUGCCUGUAAAGUCUAGCAGAGGAGCUACUGCUGGACUCACAACCAAGGCCAAGUUUUGAAGUUCCUCCAUCGGAAACAACUAUGUUAAAAAAAUGUCAUCACAUUUGUAUUUGAUCUUUUCAAACCAGUUAUUGCUUUGAUUCCAUUUUGAUGGAAAAUACAUAAACACAAUGUUGGAGCUGAUUGUUUACCGACAGUCAUCUUAUAUCUUUCUGAUUAGAACUGUUAAUGCACUUUGAAUACAUAAAUAAAGUUUAUGUGGCCUACGGUA